Molecule: ribosomal RNA, 253 nt
Filed under: uncultured bacterium
Lineage: Bacteria
Description: partial 16S ribosomal RNA
Rfam family: Bacterial small subunit ribosomal RNA
Source: RNAcentral
GACGAGGGAUCCUAGCGUUGUUCGGAAUCAUUGGGCGUAAAGCGGGUGUAGGUGGCUUCGUAAGUCAGGUGUGAAAUCCCAGGGCUUAACCCUGGAAGUGCACUUGAUACUGCAAAGCUUGAGUGUGGGAGAGGUUACUAGAAUUCCAGGUGUAGUGGUGAAAUACGUAGAUAUCUGGAGGAAUACCGGUGGCGAAGGCGGGUAACUGGCCCAACACUGACACUGAUGCCCGAAAGCGUGGGGAUCAAACAGG